GGAAAGCCUGCCUGUGGGAAGAAACGGCGCCAGCAGCAGAGGAGAGACCUUCCGUGGCCGCAGGCGGCCGCGCCGGUACCCCCCACAGCUCCCGCCUCCCCGCCUGAGGAGGGCGGCAGCACCGGGCGGGCUCAGGGCGGCGGAGACCGAGCGGAAAGGGCUUUCGCGCUCCCCCAGCCCAGCAGCGCGCGGGUCGCCGCCUCGGGCGGCGGCUCCUCACGGAGGGGCGCGGGCAGGGCCGGCCGCCGGCUUGCUUUCCCGCACGCGUGGGGCCGGCCCCGCUCGGGGGAGGCGGAGAGGCGGCCGCUGACAGGAAUCGACGAAGGCGGGUGAGAGGCUCGCGCCGCUGCGCUGCCCGCAGUCUUCGGCGAGGGUUUUCAAAAGAUGUUUUCAGCUCCGAGGGUCAGCUAGGUCUCUGGGAGGUGACACAUCCAGCAUCUGGCUGGCCAGCACCCUGCUCUCCCUGAUUGUUUCCUUUCAAACUUUUUUCUACAAAAUUUCAGACAACAUCAUCAUUUUGUAUCUGUGUGCGUCUUCCCCAAUUUCCUCAUUAUUUUUCCUCUUCGUGCUGCACCCCAAGAAUUUCAUGGACAGUUUUUGCUGCAGUCAGCUCGCUGCUCCGGGGCAACAUUGUUGUGCCAAGAGAGAACCGACCUAUAAGCCUCAUUUUAUUUUGGAGCCUGGGUGAGAGUGUGCCUUGUAUUGUCUCAGUUACUCAUGACCAGAGCGGAUGGAGCAGUGAGUCACCUACCAGACAUUAUUAGAGCUGUGACAACAAGAAACCAGAUGAAACCUUUAAACUGUAUCUGCUUUCCAGACCACGGAAAUACAGCAUAUUGACUUUGCUUUGACUUAGGCGAACUGCAAAGCCUGCUCUGGAAAACAAAAGUGGUUUUUAAUCUAAGGGAUUCUGUAACCUCCGUUGAAAUGCAAGGCUGAGCUCCCUGAUGCCUGAGCACAUCUCAGAGAGCUGCACAGCACCUGGGAGUCUGCACCGUGCAUGGACUUAUCAUUGCUUUAAUGUAAAGACUGCUGAACUGUGUCCCUGGUACUACCAUCCUGCCUCUCCCAUGGUGCUAGCCUUUUUUCCUUCAGUCACAGCUGCUGGACUGUGAUUAUAAUGUUCUGUUUUGUAGUUUAUAUCUAGUACUGUUUACCCACUUCGUAGUAAGCUUUCAUCAGUGGUAUUUCAGUCUUUGGAAGGCUUUCAUUCUACAUAUUGGAGAAAGGAUCUCAACAUUGCACAUGCAUGAAGUUAAUUUAGGCAUUUUUUUAUAGGACUUGUAACACCAUGUAAGUAUCAAGAACAACUUUUUAAAUUCAGUUUCUGAUUGUUUUCUCAAUGGUGUGUGCUCAAACUGAGAUAUAAGAUAUUCCCCACAGCACUUUGAAUACACCAGUGUUUUUUGAAGUUAAUGGGAUGUUACAGUUUGAAGAAGUAUCAA
This is a long non-coding RNA of Aquila chrysaetos chrysaetos, 1445 nucleotides long. RefSeq lists it as uncharacterized. The record is from RefSeq and is a predicted model, not a curated record. The transcript is spliced from 4 exons. NCBI's taxonomy places the organism in Eukaryota, Metazoa, Chordata, Aves, Accipitriformes, Accipitridae.